UGAGGAAUAUUGGACAAUGGGCGCAAGCCUGAUCCAGCCAUGCCGCGUGCAGGAAGAAGCAUCUAUGGUGUGUAAACUGCUUUUGUACGGGAAGAAACACUCCUUCGUGAAGGAGCUUGACGGUACCGUAAGAAUUAGGAUCGGCUAACUCCGUGCCAGCAGCCGCGGUAAUACGGAGGAUCCAAGCGCUAUCCGGAAUCAUUUGGUUUAAAGGGUCCGUAGGCGGUUUAGUAAGUCAGUGGUGAAAGCCCAUCGCUCAACGAUGGAACGGCCAUUGAUACUGCUAGACUUGAAUUAUUAGGAAGUAACUAGAAUAUGUAGUGUAGCGGUGAAAUGCUUAGAUAUUACAUGGAAGACCAAUUGCGAAGGCAGGAUACUACUGAUGGAUUGACGCUGAUGGACGAAAGCGUGGGGAGCGAACA
RNAcentral lists this ribosomal RNA (422 nucleotides) under uncultured bacterium. Its description in RNAcentral is "bacterial SSU rRNA". It matches the Rfam family "Bacterial small subunit ribosomal RNA", at positions 355 to 774 of the family's 1533-position model. The record is from RNAcentral.